UACGGGGGGGGCAAGCGUUGUUCGGAAUUACUGGGCGUAAAGAGCUCGUAGGCGGUUUGUCGCGUCUGCUGUGAAAACCUAAGGCUCAACCUUGGGCUUGCAGUGGGUACGGGCAGACUAGAGUGCGGUAGGGGUGACUGGAAUUCCUGGUGUAGCGGUGAAAUGCGCAGAUAUCAGGAGGAACACCGGUGGCGAAGGCGGGUCUCUGGGCCGUAACUGACGCUGAGGAGCGAAAGCAUGGGGAGCGAACAGG
Molecule: ribosomal RNA, 253 nt
Filed under: uncultured bacterium
Lineage: Bacteria
Description: partial 16S ribosomal RNA
Rfam family: Bacterial small subunit ribosomal RNA
Source: RNAcentral